Molecule: ribosomal RNA, 393 nt
Filed under: uncultured bacterium
Lineage: Bacteria
Description: partial 16S ribosomal RNA
Rfam family: Bacterial small subunit ribosomal RNA
Source: RNAcentral
AUACGGAGGAUCCGAGCGUUAUCCGGAUUUAUUGGGUUUAAAGGGUGCGCAGGCGGGAGAUUAAGUCGGCGGUGAAAUUUUUCAGCUCAACUGUAAAAGGGCCUUCGGAACUGGUUUCCUUGAGUGUAGAUGAAGUAGGCGGAAUUUGUGGUGUAGCGGUGAAAUGCAUAGAUAUCACGAGGAACUCCGAUUGCGCAGGCAGCUUACUAAACUACUACUGACGCUCAGGCACGAAGGCGUGGGGAUCAAACAGGAUUAGAUACCCUGGUAGUCCACGCAGUAAACGAUGAUUACUAGCUGUUUGCGAUACAAUGUAAGCGGCUGAGCGAAAGCGUUAAGUAAUCCACCUGGGGAGUACGUUCGCAAGAAUGAAACUCAAAGGAAUUGACGGGG